This is a long non-coding RNA of Sycon ciliatum, 218 nucleotides long. RefSeq lists it as uncharacterized. The record is from RefSeq and is a predicted model, not a curated record. Lineage: Eukaryota; Metazoa; Porifera; Calcarea; Leucosolenida; Sycettidae. The transcript is spliced from 4 exons.
ACGAGAUGAGGAUGGUCAUUGUCAUUUUCUGAGCUGCGAACGGGCAGAAAGCUACACAACGAGAUGAGGAUGGUCAUUGUCAUUUUCUUAGCUGCGAACGGGCAGAAAGCUACACAACGAGAUGAGGAUGGUCAUUGUCAUUUUCUGAGCUGCGAACGGGCAGAAAGCGACACAACGAGAUGAGGAUGGUCAUUGUCAUUUUCUGAGCUGCGAACGGG